Molecule: ribosomal RNA, 423 nt
Filed under: uncultured bacterium
Lineage: Bacteria
Description: bacterial SSU rRNA
Rfam family: Bacterial small subunit ribosomal RNA
Source: RNAcentral
UAAGGAAUAUUGGUCAAUGGACGCAAGUCUGAACCAGCCAUGCCGCGUGAAGGAUGAAGGUCCUCUGGAUUGUAAACUUCUUUUACAGGGGAAGAAACCGGAAUUUUCUUGUUCCGUUGACGGUACCCUGGGAAUAAGCACCGGCUAACUCCGUGCCAGCAGCCGCGGUAAUACGGAGGGUGCAAGCGUUAUCCGGAUUCACUGGGUUUAAAGGGUGCGUAGGUGGGUCUGUAAGUCAGUGGUGAAAUCUCCAAGCUUAACUUGGAAACUGCCGUUGAUACUAUAGACCUUGAAUGCUGUGGAGGUGAGCGGAAUAUGUCAUGUAGCGGUGAAAUGCUUAGAUAUGACAUAGAACACCAAUUGCGAAGGCAGCUCACUACCCAGAUAUUGACACUGAGGCACGAAAGCGUGGGGAUCAAACAG